RNAcentral lists this ribosomal RNA (443 nucleotides) under uncultured bacterium. RNAcentral's name for it is "partial 16S ribosomal RNA". It matches the Rfam family "Bacterial small subunit ribosomal RNA", at positions 338 to 795 of the family's 1533-position model. The record is from RNAcentral.
CCUACGGGUGGCAGCAGUGGGGAAUAUUGGGCAAUGGGCGCAAGCCUGACCCAGCAACGCCGCGUGAAGGAAGAAGGCUUUCGGGUUGUAAACUUCUUUUCUGAGGGACGAAGGAAGUGACGGUACCUCAGGAAUAAGCCACGGCUAACUACGUGCCAGCAGCCGCGGUAAUACGUCGGUGGCAAGCUUUAUCCGGAUUUAUUGGGGGUAAAGGGUGUGUAGGCGGGAAAGCAAGUCAGAUGUGAAAACUCAGGGCUCAACCCAGAUCCUGUAUUAGAAAGUGGUUGUCUUGAGUGCUGGAGAGGCAAGCGGAAUUCCGGGUGUAGCGGUGAAAUGCGUAGAUAUCCGGAGGAACACCAGUGGCGAAGGCGGAUUGCUGGACAGUAACUGACGCUGAGGCGCGAAAGCGUGGGGAGCAAACAGGAUUAGAUACCCGUGUAGUC